AGUUAAAAAGCUAUAGAGUAAGCCCAAUGUCUUGAAAACAUUGUGAAAGAAGUUUAAGUCUUCUAUUAACUU
RNAcentral lists this transfer RNA (72 nucleotides) under Amitermes sp. QLD_059. RNAcentral describes it as "tRNA-Ser". Lineage: Eukaryota; Metazoa; Arthropoda; Insecta; Blattodea; Termitidae. The record is from RNAcentral. RNAcentral also lists the same sequence under 1 other name.